GGCAGGCGCCAAACCGCUGCGCCACCCAGGGAUCCCGAAUAAUCUGUCCAUUGAUAAGCACAGGGGAAUUUUUCUCUGAUCUUCACUCAGAACCUGGAAGAGCUCCUUGAGAUAAAUCUCACAAAAAUGUGGCGACCUCCCUAUGACUGGGUCCCCUUGAGGUAUUUAACUCUCAGACUUGUCCACACUGAGCCUUCAGCAAUUUGUCAAUAACAAUUUAGGUUUUCCUUGCUGACACUGAUUCCCUAGCAGGUUUCCGCUCAUAGAUUUCUGUUGCAAUAAGUUGUGAUUCUUUGUAUUCAUCCAUCUCUCCAGUUUUGGGAGCCAUGGUUUCCCUGUGGCCUUACUUCCCUGAUGGAUCUAAGGAAAGUUAGUGAUAUUUCAGUUUGUUCAGCUUUUUACUUGUUAAGAUGGAGCAGCAACUUCUAAGCUAUUUCUGGUUGUGCCAGAAACCAAAAGUAUCAGGCAAAGUUUUUAAAUGCUUGGGUGGUGGUUAAAAGACUGAAAAGUUAGAGAAAGGCUUUAUUACUUAUUUAUGUUUAUUGUAUUUAUUAUUUAUUUUUUCUUUCUUUUUUUUUUUUUUAGGCUUUAUUUGAGAGAGAGAGCCCACGCAUGAGCGGGGGGGAGGGGCAGAGGGAGAACUAAACUCCCUGCAGAGCAAGGAGCCCAGCGUGGGGCUCCAUCCAUGACCCCUUGACUGAGCCACCCAGGCACCCCUGUUUUAUUAUUUUUCUAUUGUGUAUAGCAUAUUAUGUGAUCUUCAAGUACAAGGAUUUGUAAUCCUAGCACUUUGCAUAUUCUGUGGUAUUUAAUAGGCUGUGGCAGUAAUUGACUUUAACAAUUAUUCAAUAAAUCUAUUUUCCUUUGUUUCCUGUGCA
Long non-coding RNA from Canis lupus familiaris (dog), 878 nucleotides. RefSeq lists it as uncharacterized. Lineage: Eukaryota; Metazoa; Chordata; Mammalia; Carnivora; Canidae. The record is from RefSeq and is a predicted model, not a curated record. The transcript has 2 exons.